Molecule: ribosomal RNA, 335 nt
Filed under: Haemaphysalis spinulosa
Lineage: Eukaryota; Metazoa; Arthropoda; Arachnida; Ixodida; Ixodidae
Description: partial 12S ribosomal RNA
Source: RNAcentral
AUUAUUAAGAGUUAAAUAUUGUUAGUAUUUAUAAAAUAUGAAAACAAAAAAUUAUGGCGGUAUUUUAAGCUUUUCAGAGGAAUUUGCUCUUUAAUGGAUAAAACACCAAAAUCUUACUAGAAUUAGUGAAGCAGUUUGUAUACCACUAUUUAAGUAAUAUUUUACCAUUAUUACUAAAAUUUAAAUAAAUAAAAAAAGUUAAGUCAAGGUGCAGCUUAAGUUUUAGUAUGAAGUGAAUUACAUUACUUAAAAGUGAAAAAAUUGAAAAAGUAAUUAGGAUUUGAAAGUAAAAUUUCAAUAGAAAGGAAAUUUGAAUAAAGCUCUAAAAUAUGUAC